UGCCAAUUUUCCAUAGCGGAGGAAAAGAAACCAACCGGGAUUGCCUUAGUAACGGCGAGUGAAGCGGCAAAAGCUCAAAUUUGAAAUCUGGUACCUUCGGUGCCCGAGUUGUAAUUUGGAGAGGGCAACUUUGGGGCCGUUCCUUGUCUAUGUUCCUUGGAACAGGACGUCAUAGAGGGUGAGAAUCCCGUGUGGCGAGGAGUGCGGUUCUUUGUAAAGUGCCUUCGAAGAGUCGAGUUGUUUGGGAAUGCAGCUCUAAGUGGGUGGUAAAUUCCAUCUAAAGCUAAAUAUUGGCGAGAGACCGAUAGCGAACAAGUACAGUGAUGGAAAGAUGAAAAGAACUUUGAAAAGAGAGUGAAAAAGUACGUGAAAUUGUUGAAAGGGAAGGGCAUUUGAUCAGACAUGGUGUUUUGUGCCCUCUGCUCCUUGUGGGUAGGGGAAUCUCGCAUUUCACUGGGCCAGCAUCAGUUUUGGUGGCAGGAUAAAUCCAUAGGAAUGUAGCUUGCCUCGGUAAGUAUUAUAGCCUGUGGGAAUACUGCCAGCUGGGACUGAGGACUGCGACGUAAGUCAAGGAUGCUGGCAUAAUGGUUAUAUGCCGCCCGUCUUG
This 607-nucleotide ribosomal RNA is filed under the name Saccharomyces cerevisiae (brewer's yeast). RNAcentral describes it as "partial large subunit ribosomal RNA". It matches the Rfam family "Eukaryotic large subunit ribosomal RNA", at positions 35 to 656 of the family's 3401-position model. Lineage: Eukaryota; Fungi; Ascomycota; Saccharomycetes; Saccharomycetales; Saccharomycetaceae. The record is from RNAcentral.